This 491-nucleotide ribosomal RNA is filed under the name uncultured bacterium. RNAcentral's name for it is "bacterial SSU rRNA". It matches the Rfam family "Bacterial small subunit ribosomal RNA", at positions 36 to 524 of the family's 1533-position model. The record is from RNAcentral.
CUGGCGGCAGCCUACACAUGCAAGUCGAGCGGAUGAAAGGAGCUUGCUCCUGGAUUCAGCGGCGGACGGGUGAGUAAUGCCUAGGAAUCUGCCUGGUAGUGGGGGACAACGUUUCGAAAGGAACGCUAAUACCGCGUACGUCCUACGGGAGAAAGCAGGGGACCUUCGGGCCUUGCGCUAUCAGAUGAGCCUAGGUCGGAUUAGCUAGUUGGUGAGGUAAUGGCUCACCAAGGCGACGAUCCGUAACUGGUCUGAGAGGAUGAUCAGUCACACUGGAACUGAGACACGGUCCAGACUCCUACGGGAGGCAGCAGUGGGGAAUAUUGGACAAUGGGCGAAAGCCUGAUCCAGCCAUGCCGCGUGUGUGAAGAAGGUCUUCGGAUUGUAAAGCACUUUAAGUUGGGAGGAAGGGUUGUAGAUUAAUACUCUGCAAUUUUGACGUUACCGACAGAAUAAGCACCGGCUAACUCUGUGCCAGCAGCCGCGGUAAU